Molecule: unclassified non-coding RNA, 1430 nt
Filed under: Acanthaster planci (crown-of-thorns starfish)
Lineage: Eukaryota; Metazoa; Echinodermata; Asteroidea; Valvatida; Acanthasteridae
Description: ankyrin repeat family A protein 2-like, transcript variant X1
Source: RNAcentral
GUAUCCGUUAUCUACGGCUAGGUCUGGGCUGCAUUUUUGUGUACACACGGGCAAUAAACGUAGCCGUAGCUCUGAAGGCCCAUUUUGGACAAGGCUAGCGCUUUCGAUUCAUUAUCGUGUUUUGGGUUACGAGGUGAAAAAAGUCUGCUUCACGCAUCGACAGCAUUGGAAGUUCUACGGUGUAACACCUCCACUACUCAGCUUCAGUAACCAUCAUCAUCAUCAUCAUGCGAGAGAAUUGAACUGAUUGUUUACCAACAUGUACUGGUAGGAGAAAACCACAAUGGAUCCAUCCAAAGUGCCCUAUCCUGUCAGUAUUAGCGUCUGCACACGUACCGGUGAUGUUCCAUCCAACGUAAUCACCACUCCAACAACUAUGGUUGGCUUCCAACUACAAGCCAACCCUAAUCCCAUACAAGUUGCAGCCCCCUCAGAGAGUAAAAUUCCGAUUUCAGCAGCUAUUCCAGCUAUGUUGACUACACCCCUGGAUUACAAUGGCAGCCAACCAACUGUGGUCCAUGUUGCACCAUCGAUGAUGGCUGUGGAUAGAGUCUUGAAUGCAUUGAGUGACCAAGAUCAAGCUAGCUCAGAUCUUGAGGUUCAGUCAGUUAUGUGUCCAGAGACCAGAAAUUUAUUGCCAACACUGAAGCCAGUUUGCACCAGCAGGUCUUCAUCGUCAAGUAAAUCCAGCAAAUCUAGCUAUUCUCCAAUGAGGUUACAGAUAUCAAUGACGAAUACCAAGCGAGGAAAUGUUCAAAGUGUAACACCUACAUGUCUCUAUAAUUACAGUAUUCACCAGCUGGCUGCUCAAGGUGAGAUUGCCGUCCUUGAAGAGAAGUUCCAGGAGGAACUUGACAUUGAUGAGCUCGACGCAGACGGCUGCACUCCUCUGAUGUGGGCGUGUGCUCACCAGCAGACGGACAUCGUCCAGCAUCUCCUGGCCCAUGGCGCUGAUGUCACUAAGGAAAGUGUAGAUGGAGAGACUGCCUUAGCCUUUGCUAGCAGUGUUGGAUGUAUUGAUAUCAUCCGUUUAUUGCUCACUGAGGGAGCAGAUGUUAAUAAAUCUGAUUGGAAUGAAGGAACACCACUGCUGUAUGCUGUGUAUAAAAACCAUCCCGUAUGUGUACGUCUGCUCUUGGAGGCUGGAGCUGACUUAACUGUACAAACGGAAGGUGGACACACCCCUUUAAGUCUUGCUGUUGCCCUUGGUCAUAGAGAAGUGCAACUUACAAUCGAGAAGCACAUGAUAUCUCUUCUGCAGAAUGGCUAACGACAUCAAUGACCUAGAGUUCAAUGGAAUAUGUAAGGCAGACAGCAAAACUGAGGUUUGUGCAAAAAAUAGAACCUGCAUGGACUAUCCGCCCUGAGCAGGACCAAGAGAGGGGGUGAUUUUCCUAGCAAUGGAGGCUUCUUUGGUGGAAACUGCACAU